UACGUAGGGGGCAAGCGUUGUCCGGAAUCAUUGGGCGUAAAGCGCGUGUAGGCGGCUCGAUAAGUCCGCUCUGAAAGCCCGGGGCUCAACCCCGGGAGGCGGGCGGAAACUGUCGGGCUAGAGUCCGGAAGAGGCGAGUGGAAUUCCCGGUGUAGCGGUGAAAUGCGCAGAUAUCGGGAGGAACACCAAUGGCGAAGGCAGCUCGCUGGGACGUGACUGACGCUGAGGAGCGAAAGCGUGGGGAGCGAACAGG
Molecule: ribosomal RNA, 253 nt
Filed under: uncultured bacterium
Lineage: Bacteria
Description: partial 16S ribosomal RNA
Rfam family: Bacterial small subunit ribosomal RNA
Source: RNAcentral